Molecule: transfer RNA, 79 nt
Filed under: Nitrososphaerota archaeon
Lineage: Archaea; Thermoproteati; Nitrososphaerota
Description: Thaumarchaeota archaeon tRNA-Pro
Rfam family: tRNA
About the family: Transfer RNA (tRNA) molecules are approximately 80 nucleotides in length. Their secondary structure includes four short double-helical elements and three loops (D, anti-codon, and T loops).
Source: RNAcentral
GGGGUCGUCGGCUAGUCUGGUCCAGGCUUCAAGCCUCGGGCGCUUGAGAUCCAGGGUUCAAAUCCCUGCGACCCCACCA